RNAcentral lists this ribosomal RNA (253 nucleotides) under Enterobacter hormaechei. Its description in RNAcentral is "partial 23S ribosomal RNA". It matches the Rfam family "Bacterial large subunit ribosomal RNA", at positions 354 to 611 of the family's 2925-position model. The record is from RNAcentral. Lineage: Bacteria; Pseudomonadati; Pseudomonadota; Gammaproteobacteria; Enterobacterales; Enterobacteriaceae.
CGGUACAGGGUGAUAGUCCCGUACACGAAAACACACUUGCUGUGAACUCGAAGAGUAGGGCGGGACACGUGGUAUCCUGUCUGAAUAUGGGGGGACCAUCCUCCAAGGCUAAAUACUCCUGACUGAUCGAUAGUGAACCAGUACCGUGAGGGAAAGGCGAAAAGAACCCCGGCGAGGGGAGUGAAAAAGAACCUGAAACCGUGUACGUACAAGCAGUGGGAGCCUCUUUAUGGGGUGACUGCGUACCUUUUGU